UGGAAAGGUAAUUAGAGGUAUUUGGAGACGAGUGUACAAGCGAGAAAUGGAACUUAACAAAGAGGGUUGAAGCACUAAAAUCUGUGUAAUUUUCCAUAGAAUCACUAAAAGCGAUCACAAUAAAAACAUUUAUUCUAUUUAGAAUAGCUGAAAACAACAACGAUAAUGUUUACUAAGUGCCUACUAUGAUGUGCCAAACACUGUUGGAGGCAGGAGUUGACAGCGGCAAACAGGACAGCAGAGCCCCGCCCACCUGGUCUUCCGUUCUCGUGGUGGUGAAAGUAAAAAAAAAAAAAAAACAAAAACAAACCAAAAAACCAAUACAAAUAAAUGAAUAAUUACGAUCAAUUCAGCUUCUGCAAAUCCUAUGGAGGAAACAAUUGGAGGAGAAGGGGGUGGGGCGGCGCAUUAGAGGUUAACUGAAGGUCAGGGAAGAUCUCUUCAGGAGGUGACAUUUGAGCUGAGACCUGGGGGGGUGAGCCAGCAGAGGAAAAGCCAGGGCCAGCUUGCCAAGUCCCUAAGAGAUCAAAUGGCUUGUAAGAGGAAGCCAAUGGGAAAGAGGAAGGAGCCCGGCCAGCGGCUAACGCAGGCCAUUGCAUAGCUUACUAGCAGCUUCCCGAUUCUCAGAAUGAGAAAGGAAUUUGUACAAAACCCAAGGCCGACAAGGACCAUUUGCUUGCUUUAGAUCACCCAAGUCUUGGGCAGCAAAGGUAAGGUGAGAACCCAAGCCUUCCAAAUUGCCGGCAAAGGACCUUGUUUCUGUAUUGUCAGAGUGGAGCAUGUUGAACACCUAUGGUCUAUAUCGGCAGCUUGUUUCCAGUUGUGCCUGUGUAACUUUUCCAGUACACUGGCCUUGGAAUAAUUUGGGGUUCAAGAACUGACCAACCCCAACUCUACCUCGUCCUGGAUCCUCAAUGCAUCAUUUAUCUUUCCUGGGUCUCAUCUAUAGAAUGGAUUGCUGUUCUACACAGGUCAUCAGGCAGCGUUUAGACCAGUACCCAGCACCGAGAAAACAUGUAAAAUGUUGACUAUCAUCACCAUUGUUAUCAUUAUUAUUUUGUCAAUAUCUUCUCUGCCACUGUAUUAGCGGUCUCCAUUAUAACAGAUUGUAGUGUACAUCAUUUUACAUUUCAUCUACCAAUGUACAAGGGACUAGAGCCUAACAAAUGACUUUAUGAUUCAAACAUUUGCCCAUUCAUCACAGCACCAGCUAUAGAUCAAGUAUGGUACCGGGUUUAAGGAAAACAAAAAAAUUUUAAAGUGAUGAUUGAUCAGUUGGGUCAGGCUCAUUGCCAGAGCCCCGGAUCUGUGAUGUAUUGACUAUGUGAAACCAGCACGUUACUUAACUUCUCAGGGUCUCAGGAUUCACAUCUGAACAAGGGGGAUAACUAGCCCACGGCACGGUUCCGAUGACACACAUGGAAUGGUGCGACUCCCGGAGGCACUGACUCUGGAGCCCACGGUACAGACACAGCUCCAGACUGUCAGUUCCUGUCGGCCUCAGCCUUCAGGAUGCAAUAAGUUGAGGAGACAAUAUUACUUUGGAGGUAAACAGAAGUUUAAACUUCAACAGUGGACUUAAAAUGGCAGCUUACUAAGAGAAGGAGCCUAUACUGUAAGAGAUUUCUUUAAGAUCAAGAUUUUUUAGUUAGAAAAAAUAAAAGGAAAGAAAAGAGAAGAGAAGAGAAGAAAAGAAAAAAGAAAAAGAUUAAUGUAUACCAAAUCCUGGCACAGCAAAGACAGUGAAUUUUUCUUCCAAGUCCUUCUGGUGAACUCCAGCAUAAGAGGUUAUGCAUCUGAUUCUUGUAAACAUUAUUGUCUUUUUCUAAACUUUGAAUUAUGAUACCUUUAGGGGAGGGGUCCAAAAGUGACUUAAAGGGAAGGGAAAGACUCAUCAUCAAGUGAAAUUCCAGUGGCAGAGUUUCCAGUGAAAGGGAAUUACUGGCUCCUUCAAGGGCUAUAUUCUAUUUUUGUUCCUUAAUUUAUUAUUAUUCAUUUCAUAUAAAAUGAAUUUAAUUGCUUUGCAUAAUCACAAGAGUAACUUCUGCUCUUCUGAGGGUGGAAAAUUUAGGCAACAGAUAAGAGAGGAGAAAAUGUUCACAAUUCCACCUGCCUGUGGAUAAGCAAAGUUAAUUCAGGGUGUCACUUUGCAGAUUUGUAUUUGUUUAUUUAAUAAAAGAUUGAUUGAUUCAUUGA
Long non-coding RNA from Herpailurus yagouaroundi (jaguarundi), 2196 nucleotides. RefSeq lists it as uncharacterized. Lineage: Eukaryota; Metazoa; Chordata; Mammalia; Carnivora; Felidae. The record is from RefSeq and is a predicted model, not a curated record. The transcript is spliced from 2 exons.